UCGCCUGUGCAGUAUUGUCAACUCCCCGAUAGAACUGAAAAUGGACACCUGGAAGAUGUAUUAUUGCAACUGACGGACAACAGUUUCUCUUAAAAUAAACUAGCUCGAUUAAAGCUCCGUAGAUUUUGUGCUUUUCAGGGAUGGAAGAAGACAAAGACCCAGUUCUUACUGUCAUCAAGUGGGAAGAUUUUAUAGAAGACUUCAUCAAGGAUAUAGACUAUAUUCAAGGACUAUGACUUCACAGACUAUGUGACAGACUAUGUGACAAUGAGACAAGUGUUGAAACUUUCCUCACGCUAUAAAGCUCAGCUACCAAAACAAGCCUCUGCAUCCACAAGUCUUCUUCCUUUCAGUUUGAUCCACUCAAGUGCAAGACUCAGAAGUUUUAUACUCGCUCCUUUGUCUUCUGCAGGUCUACCAGUCCACGUAUCAGCGAUAAGAGAGUGCUUUUUACACACAGUGGCAUGAAGAUACUGGAAAGCCAGAAAGCUGAACACCUAUUUCACAAUUAGCUUGCGGCUGCAGAAAGCACACACCAAACACAGCCCAUGUUGCCAGUCUGAUAAAGUACAUUCUGCUCAUCCACAGAUCAUCCAGUGGAUAGACCACCUUGUGGCACAGGUUGUUGCAAGCAUCAGAGAUGUGCAAGCAGUCCUCAAAUGCUAUGUUCAAACAAGAAUGUCUGAUAUUGUUGCUCCUGAUUGGCAAGACAGGGCAUAUUAUCCAAAGCUCUAGGACAUAGCUAAUCACAUCUACAAAUCAAAAGUGAAAUAGUGCAUCUCAAAGUUGGACCUUGAACCAUUUGGUAGAGAAGAAGAGGUACAUUCAGCAGGUGGACAGCAGGAAACAGUGUUGAUGACACUCCUCCAUCACCUAUUCCACACCUGCAGCUAAAUGAGCCAAACAGCAACCCUGUAGAAACAAUACCAAGACACGAUGUAACAGGCUAUCCAGGUGAAGCUGUCUGCACAGAGAGAACAGAACUACACAAAGAUCUAAAUGCCAUAAGGAGGUCCUCCAACAAGUGCACAGAUGUGGCCAAACUGGCUGAUCUUAAGGCUGGGAUCAAGGCAUUCCAUGACAAGUUUAAGACCUCCUUAAAGAGACCGUCGUUAUCACCGUCAGUGUCUGUGCACACACAAACACCGAAGCGUAAAAAACAAGACACCAAAACAACUGCCACCUACACAAACAGUAAGAAGAGACAACAGAGACCAUGCAUACUGAAACAAGCAUUGGGACCAGGCGAACUCUGCAAGACUGAAAUCCCAGUAAAUGAGUUAAUUAACUUAAAAGAGUUGUUUGUCUUUGUAGAACCACACCUUCUCUGAGAUGAGGUCAUACUGUAUAUUUUAUAACUGUAGUUCCUUGUACUUUAGAGCAACAGUUAAAAAUUUUGGGAAAUAGGCUCAUUUCCUUUCUUGUCAAGGGUUAGAUGAGAAGAUUGAUACCACUCACAUGUCUGUACAGUAAAUAUGAAGCUGCAGCCAGCAAUGUGGCUUAGCUUAUCUUAAUAUAAAGACUGGAAAAGGGGGGAAACAGCCAACCCAGCUCUGUCCAAGGGUAACUAAAUCUGCCUACCAGCACCUCUUAAACUCACUAAUUAAGAAUAAACAGGCUGUUAAAGUUGGAGUUUUUUACAGGGGUAUACAUGCUAAUUACUUCUUGGCUGGGCGCAGUAAAUUCAAGGUAUCCAGCAAACAAAGAAAUAGCCAAGCACAUAACCCUUUGUAAAACCACAACUUGUCUCUUUUACACUUUGGUUUUUG
This is a long non-coding RNA of Xiphias gladius (swordfish), 1769 nucleotides long. RefSeq lists it as uncharacterized. The transcript has 3 exons. The record is from RefSeq and is a predicted model, not a curated record. NCBI's taxonomy places the organism in Eukaryota, Metazoa, Chordata, Actinopteri, Istiophoriformes, Xiphiidae.